AUACGUAGGGGGCGAGCGUUGUCCGGAAUUACUGGGCGUAAAGGGUGCGUAGGUGGCACUUUAAGUUGGAUGUGAAAUCCCCGUGCUUAACAUGGGAGCUGCAUCCAAUACUGGAGAGCUAGAGUGCAGGAGAGGUAAGCGGAAUUCCUAGUGUAGCGGUGAAAUGCGUAGAUAUUAGGAGGAACACCAGUGGCGAAGGCGGCUUACUGGACUGUAACUGACACUGAGGCACGAAAGCGUGGGGAGCAAACAGGAUUAGAUACCCUGGCAGUCCACGCUGUAAACGAUGAAUACUAGGUGUAGGGGGUAUCAACUCCCUCUGUGCCGCAGCAAACGCAAUAAGUAUUCCGCCUGGGGAGUACGGCCGCAAGGUUGAAACUCAAAUGAAUUGACGGGG
Molecule: ribosomal RNA, 397 nt
Filed under: uncultured bacterium
Lineage: Bacteria
Description: partial 16S ribosomal RNA
Rfam family: Bacterial small subunit ribosomal RNA
Source: RNAcentral